This 65-nucleotide transfer RNA is filed under the name Kitasatospora sp. SolWspMP-SS2h. Its description in RNAcentral is "tRNA-Val". It matches the Rfam family "tRNA". Rfam says of the family: Transfer RNA (tRNA) molecules are approximately 80 nucleotides in length. RNAcentral also lists the same sequence under 1 other name. Lineage: Bacteria; Bacillati; Actinomycetota; Actinomycetes; Kitasatosporales; Streptomycetaceae. The record is from RNAcentral.
CGAUUAGCUCAGCGGGAGAGCACUACCUUGACACGGUAGGGGUCACUGGUUCAAUCCCAGUAUCG